This 250-nucleotide ribosomal RNA is filed under the name uncultured bacterium. RNAcentral's name for it is "partial 16S ribosomal RNA". It matches the Rfam family "Bacterial small subunit ribosomal RNA", at positions 524 to 773 of the family's 1533-position model. The record is from RNAcentral.
GACGUAGGUGGCGAGCGUUAUUCGGAUUCACUAGGCGUAAAGCGUGUGUAGGCGGGUUCUUAAGUCCGCUGUGAAAUCUCCUGGCUCAACCGGGAGGGGUCAGCGGAUACUGAGAGUCUUGAAUUGGGUAGGGGGGUCCGGAAUUCCUGGUGUAGCGGUGAAAUGCGCAGAUAUCAGGAGGAACACCGGCGGCGAAGGCGGGACCCUGGGCCUGGAUUGACGCUGAGACACGAAAGCUAGGGGAGCAAAC